Molecule: long non-coding RNA, 2941 nt
Filed under: Salvia miltiorrhiza (redroot sage)
Lineage: Eukaryota; Viridiplantae; Streptophyta; Magnoliopsida; Lamiales; Lamiaceae
Description: long non-coding RNA (SMIL_LNC011677)
Source: RNAcentral
AGCAACUUCUCCCUAGCAAGCUUCAAUUGGUAUAUACUCUCUUUCAAUUUCUGCACACCCAUUGUCUCUGCAAAAUUUCUUGCGCAGAAAUCAACCUAUAUUCUCUGCAAACUCUCUGUGCAGCAACUCAUACUUAGAGGUUUUACCUCUUUAACUUUACUCUCUCUACACACUUCUUUCACAAGUGUUAAAUUGCAGUAAUUUGAAUUCAUAAUUUCAACCCACAGCAAACCAACAACUCAUGAUUAUUGAACUUCAAAAGCUAUAAAAAUGUAAACUUUUACACUCAUAAGUUGCAUUGCACCAAAACCUUUAUACUAAACUGUAGUAAUUAGAACUUAUGGUGUUGUGUGUGUGUGUUCUGUUGGUUGUGCGUCGGAGACAGAGGGAGGCCACGGCGCGGCGGCUCCGCACGCUGUUGCCGGGCCAAGGACGGAAAGGGAGAGAUGAGGCGGUGGAGCAGGGGCUAGGGCGCGGGGGAUGUCUGGCCGAGUGCAGGAGAGAGAUGCGGCACUGUCGUCUGAAAUUUGGGCGGUGGUGACGUCGUUAAGCCGGAAAGAGAGAUGGGGCCCUGGGUGGCGGUGGCUGGCCUCACCAGCCACUACGGUUGCCGGAGUCGAGAGAGGGGAAGGAGGGCUGUUAGAGAGUUGGGGCUAGGGGUUUUCAGAGGAAGAAAGGGGUGGUGGUGGUUCUCCAGCCAACAAGGGAGCUGAGAACGCGGCGGCGGCCAUGGUGGUGAUGGCUGUCACCGGAAAUUUUGUGGGAGAAAGCCGCGGCGUUUUCCAUUGUGUGAGUGUGUACCGCCGUGAGGGAGAAAGAGAGAGACAUGGGAGGGGUUGAGAAGCAAGAGGGCGACGGCAGUCAGGCGGCGGAGGCGACGCUACCGCCGCCGGAGAAGAAGAGAGGGGGGUGGGAGAGGGUGCCUGCUGCGGCGCAGCUGUGUGUGUGCGCGUGUUUGUGUGUUUGUGUGUGUUUAAAGAGAUGAAGAAAGACUUUGGGCUUUAGGUUUGUUCUGCACCCGUAAGCACAAGCGUAAUUAAUUAUCAGUGUGAUCAACUAACUGUGGACGUAGGAAAACGUAGAAAAGGUUUUUGGAACCACGUUAAAAAUCUCUAUGUCAUUUAUAGCUUUCAGUAUUUCAUAUUUUAUCUGUACACAAAGCUUAUGUACUGAAACUAUUAACUUGAAAAGAGAAACAUUAAAAUUGACAAUCUGAUUCACUAAAGGCUAUUUUUUAAAAUCGUUUCCGCUCACCAGGUGUUAUCAGUCUAACUGACAAACCUUGUAGUCAGUAAGAUUUAUAACACUUACUCUGAUUUACAGCUGAUUAGACUGAAGCCUUAACUGAACUCUCAAUUUGUCGACUAGUUCUUCAUACUAAAGUUAUCCACUGAAUCAUUAUUAGUAUCAGUCUAUACCUUCUUUCAACUAAUCUUUGUUUUCACUGAUCACGUACACAUUCUUCUACAGUUAUCGAAAGAAGUUUAAAGUUUUAAAAUAGCCUACUGGUGUAUCCUCCUACACAAGUUCAGUGACCCUUUGGGAUCCAACACAUUCUAUUUUCAAUCUUCGUACAUUAUAUAUGUACGAUUUCAACAAUUUAGUAUGUAGUGACCCAAAAUAUUUUAACUUCAAAUAUUAAAUUCUUUAAUUAUUUUUAAUAAUUAAAUAUUAAGUCUUAUAAGUCACCGCCUAGAUAGUGCAUGAGCAUGAGCAUUUUGACUAUAAUAAUUUCUAAGCAUGAAUAUAUUUUUUAUUAUUAAUUCUAUGGUUAUAUUUUUAAUUAAAGAUUCUUCUUUUGUAUAUAAGACACUACCUAUUUCUUUUGAUAAAGCCCAAAUAGCAAUCUUUUAAUAAAGACCAAUUCUUUUAAUUUCUUUAACCCAUGAUUUGAGCCCAAAUGAAGUGAGUAAAGAAUAUCCCUAAAAGUUCUCCUUUUCAUUUUUGCAGCAACGUGACGAAGGGAUUUACCAUAAUUUCCUUUUUGAUACUUUUAAAACCAUGAAAAGAUUUAUUUGAUUGAUCUCUCUUCUAAAAAUAAACUCUCAACUCCUUGUAUAUAUAGCAAUAGCACCUCCCGUCUUCCUUAUUUCCUCACACUUUUCAUCGAGCUCUUUUUCUGCUAGGAGAGGAACAGCACACAAGACUUAAUUAUGUAAUUUCGAAUUUUAUUCAAGAAAGGUUAAUGUGUGGUGUUUUUAAUUAUGCAUUUAAGUAAUUUAUCCUUAUUAUAUGUUUUGCUCAAUUAUUUAUGUGAUGCAGAUGAGAAUAAGUUCAUGACAUACGGGUUAUGUGAUUUAGCCUACGGGCUAUUAUGAGAAUAAGCUCGUGACCUACAGAUUAUGUGAUUUAGCCUAUGGGCUAUUAUGAGAAUAAACUCAUGACCUACGGGUUAUGUGAUCUAACCUAUAGGCUAUCUUGAGAGUAAGGGCAUGACCUAUGUGCUAUGUGAUGAUUACUAUAAUCGUGUAUUUUAUUGAUGUAUUUCAUAUAAUUUGGAUAAAUGUGCCCCCACUGAGUCUAUUGUACUCACCCCAAAACAAUACUUCAUCCGUCCCUGAAAUAAGUUCAUUUUUUCCUUUUUGGGACGUCCCCCAAAUAAGUUCUUCUUUAUUUCUUUCAAUUUUUGGACAACUACCCCACCACUAAUAUAUAAUACUUUAUUUAUUCUUACUUUUCAAUUUUUCACCACUCUCAAUACUAAUUAUAACAUAUUUUUCACCACUAUCAAUACACUUUACCACUUUUCCUUAAAACUCGUGCCGUCCCUAAAGAAGAACUUAUUUUGGGGACGGAGGGAGUAUCUUUUUUCAGGAAAAGACUUGGGCGAUGAAAGGUGGGCCGAGUUAUGAUGGUCAAGGAAUAAAGAUGAAGAUAUUUUUUUUAUUUUAAUUGGAACAAAGACUCAAAUUCAUUAUGUUUUAUUUAAUGUUUUCCGUUG